Long non-coding RNA from Dermochelys coriacea (leatherback sea turtle), 784 nucleotides. RefSeq lists it as uncharacterized. Lineage: Eukaryota; Metazoa; Chordata; Testudines; Dermochelyidae. The transcript is spliced from 3 exons. The record is from RefSeq and is a predicted model, not a curated record.
CAUUAGUAAGCCAGAAAGGUACACUCGUUUCUUCAGCAUACUGUCAUUGGACAGCCAGCAAUACAACCUCAUCUUGAUUAAGUUUUCUGCUUAAAACUGGCUGGGAUUUGGAAAACCAAAAGCAAGACAACCCCCAAAGUAUCUACUUCAGGCUUUAUACAAGACUCCUUCUGCAGCACAUAGAUGCUGACACAGGCCCCCGAAAGGAAACUCCUAUAGAUGCUCCAACUGAAUUCAGCCUGUGUCCUUAGCAUGGCUGGAAGAUGGGGAGAGGUGGGGUGGUACAGCACAGAGCUCCAGCCUGGGAGUUGUUGGACUGUGUGUUUCCACCCAGAGUGAGGGUUCAGGAAGCCUGACCUGUCACCUAAGCGGUGCAGCUGGGCGGGACUAUAAGGCACAGUUUGCCCGGUAGAUGGACACUGCAUUAUAUCUAUAGUGACCUAAUUUAUUGUUUUCAUCACUAUGAAUCUUAGAUAAGGAACCCUUUACAAAAAGAAAAGUCUACAUUUUGUAAGCAACAUAGAACUGUCGUCUGCUUUUAAUGCCAUUAACUACUCCUUUUUCUUUUUUUAAAGGAAGCCUAGUGUGGGGUUCAAUUUCAUAGAAAAAACACUUUUGUUUUAUUUAAAUGGAAGAGUUCAAGGUGCCCAAAGGAAAAUGUAUCAUUAUGGUUACGUCUUUUCCAGCUGAAUGACUAUCCAUCCAGAUUAUGUGCCUCUAGAAUUUGAAUUUUCUCUGUAAUGAUUGUGGAGACAUUGUGAGUCAUUACUUUGAUAUUAAGAGU